This 406-nucleotide ribosomal RNA is filed under the name uncultured bacterium. RNAcentral describes it as "partial 16S ribosomal RNA". It matches the Rfam family "Bacterial small subunit ribosomal RNA", at positions 30 to 526 of the family's 1533-position model. The record is from RNAcentral.
AUUGAACGCUGGCGGCAGGCCUAACACAUGCAAGUCGAACGUGCGGCGGACGGGAGAGUAAUGUGUGGGAAAAUGCCUGAUGGAGGGGGCUAAGUACUGGAAACGAUAGCUAAUAAAGCAUACCACAGGAACUUCACAGUUGGGAUUAGCUAGCAGGUGGGGUAAAGGCUAACCUAGGCGACGAUCCCACGCAGGUCUGAGAGGAUGACCAGCCACACUGGAACUGAGACACGGUCCAGACUCCUACGGGAGGCAGCAGUGGGGAAUAUUGCACAAUGGGCGAAAGCCUGAUCCAGCCAUGCCGCGUGUGUGAAGAAGGCCUUCGGGUUGUAAAGUACUUUCAGCGGGGAGGCGUUACCCGCAGAAUAAGCACCGGCUAACUCCGUGCCAGCAGCCGCGGUAAUAC